AGCAACAUCACCUGCGACGAUCACGUGGAGCACAUAAAAACUGUCACGGUCACAGUGGGAAACCAGAGGCCUUGUCAAGCUGCUUCUUGCAGCUUUUUGCACUGGGCCUCCCACAUUGUACUUUGUUACAACGUGAAAUAAAGUUUCAAUUCAACCCAC
Molecule: long non-coding RNA, 159 nt
Organism: Ornithodoros turicata
Lineage: Eukaryota; Metazoa; Arthropoda; Arachnida; Ixodida; Argasidae
Exons: 2
Source: RefSeq, a predicted model, not a curated record